Molecule: long non-coding RNA, 1300 nt
Filed under: Sarcophilus harrisii (Tasmanian devil)
Lineage: Eukaryota; Metazoa; Chordata; Mammalia; Dasyuromorphia; Dasyuridae
Description: lncRNA (ENSSHAG00000023949.1)
Source: RNAcentral
UUGUUUUCCGUCUCUCUCCUCGCCCCCGCCCCCUAUCUCACUCGGGCCCUCCCAAUCCCCGCCCCUCCGCCUCCAACUUCCGUUCUAUCCUCGGGGGGGCUGGGCCCGUCCGGUUUCCCGGCACCCCCCGCGCGGCCUCGACCUUUCCCGCAGACCUCGGGCCGCCGCCGCCGCGGACUGUGCGCCCGGCCUGCUCAGGUGAGGGCUUGCGGAGGGGGGCCGACCCUAAAUUCGCGCGCCGACCCCCGGCUGGCCGGUAAUGCGGAGCCCGGCCCUUCUGUCGCUUCCGGGGCUCGGUGCUACCUUUCGUGCCCGGCCGGCACCGUUUCCUGUGCCGGGGCAGCGCCCAACGGCCUCAUGGCACAGAUUUCGGGAAGACUCGGGCUGAGAGGUCAGCAGGGACUCUCGGGGUCGCUCAGGUGGGAAGUGACAGCCAGACGAUGGCCCCUCAUCCGGAAGGCCCUUGAUCUCCCCGCACCAGUGCCGGGAUCCUUGGCGUCCUGGACGAGGUCGCCCCCGUCAGAGUCGGGCGUCCGGAUUCGCAGGCGCGGCCGUGUCCGCCCAGCCCGGGAGCCGCUAGUCCGCUGGGCCCCGGCCUCGUUCGUUCCCUUUCCGCCCGGCUUUCUCUCUCCCUGAUUAGGCAUCAGGAUCAUAUUUGUCUUAUAGAAGGAGCAUGUUUCAGUUUAUUUCCCAUGAAGUCUGCUGGCUGUCACCUUGGAGAUGUUCACAAGGAAACAAGUGAAGCAACUUCUGCGGAGGAUACCUGGAAAACAGCGCUUUGGUGUCUAUAGGUUUCUUCCUUUCUUCUUUGUUCUGGGAGGAGCAAUGGAGUGGUUUAUGAUCAAAGUCCGAGUUGGCCAGGAGACCUUCUAUGAUGUUUAUCGAAGAAAAGAAUCAGAGAGACAGUACCAAAGAAGGCUGGAAGAAGAAUCUUGAGAAGCAUGAAUGGUGGAGCCUUACUUUUCAACAAAAUAAGUAGCCAUAACUUUUAAGUCAAAUGUGAAUGUGAACUGUUUUCACUUUGGGUUUCUCUAUCAUGUAAGAAACCUAUUAGUUAGUGCCCUCUUGUGGCCAGAUCAUGGAUCUUCACCCCGUCCAAAACAUCUGUGUGAAGAAGGGUUUUCUGUCUCAGUAUUUUCAUACUUUAAUGUUUGAAAAGGAGUAUAAUGAUUUCUUUAGGAGGGCUUUCAGAGCAGAUUGAAUUAAAUGAAUAUGUUUUAGAUCAUUAAUAAUAAUUUUAAAGUACUGCUUUGUGAUGAAAUUUUAAAUAAAUUAAAUCAUGAACAACUGUGAUACCAGC